RNAcentral lists this ribosomal RNA (586 nucleotides) under uncultured bacterium. Its description in RNAcentral is "partial 16S ribosomal RNA". It matches the Rfam family "Bacterial small subunit ribosomal RNA", at positions 355 to 1363 of the family's 1533-position model. The record is from RNAcentral.
UGGGGAAUUUUGGACAAUGGGCGAAAGCCUGAUCCAGCAAUGCCGCGUGUGUGAAGAAGGCCUUCGGGUUGUAAGGCACUUUUGUCCGGAAAGAAAUCCUUGGCUCUAAUACAGUCGGGGGAUGACGGUACCGGAAGAAUAAGCACCGGCUAACUACGUGCCAGCAGCCGCGGUAAUACGUAGGGUGCAAGCGUUAAUCGGAAUUACUGGGCGUAAAGCGUGCGCAGGCGGUUUGCUAAGACCGAUGUGAAAUCCCCGGGCUCAACCUGGGAACUGCAUUGGUGACUGGCAGGCUAGAGUAUGGCAGAGGGGGGUAGAAUUCCACGUGUAGCAGUGAAAUGCGUAGAGAUGUGGAGGAAUACCGAUGGCGAAGGCAGCCCCCUGGGCCAAUACUGACGCUCAUGCACGAAAGCGUGGGGAGCAAACAGGAUUAGAUACCCUGGUAGUCCACGCCCUAAACGAUGUCAACUAGUUGUUGGGGAUUCAUUUCCUUAGUAACGUAGCUAACGCGUGAAGUUGACCGCCUGGGGAGUACGGUCGCAAGAUUAAAACUCAAAGGAAUUGACGGGGUCAUAGCUGUUUCCCU